GCACUAAGAAAACAAGCUGCCAAAUCUGAGCAUCAGAAGACCUUUUGGUCUGCUUGGUGCAUGUUCUCUAUAGUUCUGAGA
This is a small nucleolar RNA of Mus pahari (shrew mouse), 81 nucleotides long. RefSeq annotates it as small nucleolar RNA U2-19. NCBI's taxonomy places the organism in Eukaryota, Metazoa, Chordata, Mammalia, Rodentia, Muridae. The record is from RefSeq and is a predicted model, not a curated record. The transcript has a single exon.